AAGAAUAGUUUAGCUUAGAAUCCUAGCUUUGGGAGUUAA
RNAcentral lists this transfer RNA (39 nucleotides) under Etheostoma spectabile (orangethroat darter). RNAcentral describes it as "partial tRNA-Pro". The record is from RNAcentral. Lineage: Eukaryota; Metazoa; Chordata; Actinopteri; Perciformes; Percidae.